UACGACUCACGUGCAGCUCGGACAGUACCACUGGCCUUCCGUCCGUACCGUGGUUCCGGAAAUUAUUCCCUGGAUCUAACCUCGUCACAAAAAGCCAUGAGUCCCGUUAAUAAAUUAACGUACUUCACCUUGCAGUUGUUUUUGUCCGACCUGCCUCCGGUCUUUCUUACGUUUGCUGAUCGCUACAGAUGCCGCUCUGACUGGAACAACUUGUAGUCCAACUCUUCUGGAGCUGUGAGCCCAGCCUUGCCGCGGUAAUCUUGUGACAAAAUAUUUGCCGGCGCUAGCAUGACCGGCGGACCUGUGCAAACUGGACAUCUAGAGGAAGUAAGGACGGGAUCGGAGGGAGAUAGUUAGUUAUCCGGCUGAGUAUGAACCAUUUUUGCUGUGAAAGGCUUACCUUGCUGCUUCUACUGCUGCUAAUUGAGCGACAAUCGGAGACGGAUAGAUUUUAGAGUACAAGCACAUCAGACAAUGGGCUACCAGCAGUACGGGCAGGAGAA
Drosophila miranda is the source of this 503-nucleotide long non-coding RNA. RefSeq lists it as uncharacterized. The record is from RefSeq and is a predicted model, not a curated record. Lineage: Eukaryota; Metazoa; Arthropoda; Insecta; Diptera; Drosophilidae. The transcript is spliced from 2 exons.